CGGAGGGAUCAUUAAAGAGUUCUAUAACUCCCAAACCCAUGUGAACAUACCUAACGUUGCCUCGGCAGGUCGCACCUACCUUGUAGCACCCUACCCUGUAGGGCCUACCCGGGAGGUGCGGGUAAGCCUGCCGGCGGCCCACCAAACUCUGUUUGAUAUUGAAUUCUGAACCUAUAACUAAAUAAGUUAAAACUUUCAACAACGGAUCUCUUGGUUCUGGCAUCGAUGAAGAACGCAGCGAAAUGCGAUAAGUAAUGUGAAUUGCAGAAUUCAGUGAAUCAUCGAAUCUUUGAACGCAUAUUGCGCCCAUUAGUAUUCUAGUGGGCAGGACCGUUCGAGCGUCAUUUCAACCCUUAAGCCUUCGUUGCUUAGUGUUGGGAGCCUACGGCAACGUAGCUCCUCAAAGUUAGUGGCGGAGUUGGUUCACACUCUAGACGUAGUAAUUUUUUAUCUCGCCUAUUAGUUGGACUAAUCCCCUGCCGUAAAACCCCCAAUUUAUCAAGGUUGACCUCGAAUCGGUUCAGACAAACUCGCUAAAUUGAAGCAUCUUAGUCAGCGAAGGAAAAGAAACCAACAGGGAUUGCCCUAGUAACGGC
RNAcentral lists this ribosomal RNA (596 nucleotides) under fungal endophyte. RNAcentral's name for it is "eukaryotic LSU rRNA". The stretch from base 191 to 344 matches the Rfam family "5.8S ribosomal RNA". Lineage: Eukaryota; Fungi. The record is from RNAcentral.